This 379-nucleotide ribosomal RNA is filed under the name uncultured cyanobacterium. RNAcentral's name for it is "bacterial SSU rRNA". It matches the Rfam family "Bacterial small subunit ribosomal RNA", at positions 376 to 770 of the family's 1533-position model. The record is from RNAcentral. Lineage: Bacteria; Bacillati; Cyanobacteriota.
CGAAAGCCUGACGGAGCAACGCCGCGUGAGGGAUGAAGGCCUCUGGGCUGUAAACCUCUUUUCUCAAGGAAGAAGAUCUGACGGUACUUGAGGAAUAAGCCACGGCUAAUUCCGUGCCAGCAGCCGCGGUAAUACGUAGGGGGCGAGCGUUGUCCGAAGUUACUGGGCGUAAAGCGCGCGUAGGCGGUUCUUUAAGUCUGGGGUGAAAGGUUCAGGCUCAACGCGAACAGUGCCUUGGAUACUGGAGGACUUGAGUCCGGGAGGGGGAAGCGGAAUUCCUGGUGUAGCGGUGAAAUGCGUAGAUAUCAGGAGGAACACCGGUGGCGAAGGCGGCUUCCUGGCCUGAGACUGACGCUGAGGUGCGAAAGCGUGGGGAGCG